GGCCCGCACAAGCGGUGGAGUAUGUGGUUUAAUUCGAUGCAACGCGAAGAACCUUACCAGGGUUUGACAUCCUGCGAAUCUCUUGGAAACGAGAGAGUGCCUUCGGGAGCGCAGUGACAGGUGGUGCAUGGCUGUCGUCAGCUCGUGUCGUGAGAUGUCAGGUUAAGUCCUAUAACGAGCGCAACCCCCUAUCGUUAGUUGCCAGCAUUUUAGUUGGGCACUCUAGAGAGACCGCCGGUGAUAAACCGGAGAAGGUGUGGAUGACGUCAAGUCAUCAUGCCCCUUACAUCUGGGCUACACACGUACUACAAUGCUACGGACAAAGAGCAGCAAGUUCGCGAGGACAAGCAAAUCUCAUAAAACCGUGGCUCAGUUCAGA
RNAcentral lists this ribosomal RNA (379 nucleotides) under uncultured bacterium. RNAcentral describes it as "bacterial SSU rRNA". It matches the Rfam family "Bacterial small subunit ribosomal RNA", at positions 918 to 1297 of the family's 1533-position model. The record is from RNAcentral.